GCUUCCUUGGUGUAGUUGGUUUAUCUCGUCGGUCUCAUAACCCGGUUUAUGACCCUCAUGGAGGGUGAUCCGAAAAAAUCCGAAGGUCGCCAGUUCGAUCCUGGCAGGGAGCA
Non-coding RNA from Dacryopinax sp., 113 nucleotides. The record is from Rfam. Lineage: Eukaryota; Fungi; Basidiomycota; Dacrymycetes; Dacrymycetales; Dacrymycetaceae.